Molecule: ribosomal RNA, 253 nt
Filed under: uncultured bacterium
Lineage: Bacteria
Description: partial 16S ribosomal RNA
Rfam family: Bacterial small subunit ribosomal RNA
Source: RNAcentral
UACGGAGGGUGCGAGCGUUAAUCGGAAUUAUUGGGCGUAAAGGGUGCGUAGGUGGUGAGAUAAGUUAUCUGUGAAAACCCUGGGCUUAACCUUGGGGAGAGAGAUAAGACUGUUUUACUAGAGUAUGGGAGAGGGUAGUGGAAUUUCCGGUGUAGCGGUGAAAUGCGUAGAGAUCGGAAGGAACACCGGUGGCGAAGGCGGCUACCUGGCCUAAUACUGACACUGAGGCACGAAAGCGUGGGGAGCAAACAGG